UACGUAGGUGGCAAGCGUUAUCCGGAUUUACUGGGUGUAAAGGGCGUGUAGGCGGGAAAGCAAGUCAGAUGUGAAAACCAUGGGCUCAACCUGUGGCCUGCAUUUGAAACUGUUUUUCUUGAGUACUGGAGAGGCAGACGGAAUUCCUAGUGUAGCGGUGAAAUGCAUAGAUAUCACGCAGAACCCCGAUUGCGAAGGCAGCCUUCCGGCGCCCUACUGACGCUGAGGCACGAAAGUGCGGGGAUCGAACAGG
This 253-nucleotide ribosomal RNA is filed under the name uncultured Oscillospira sp. RNAcentral describes it as "partial 16S ribosomal RNA". It matches the Rfam family "Bacterial small subunit ribosomal RNA", at positions 524 to 776 of the family's 1533-position model. Lineage: Bacteria; Bacillati; Bacillota; Clostridia; Eubacteriales; Oscillospiraceae. The record is from RNAcentral.